Xiphophorus maculatus (southern platyfish) is the source of this 119-nucleotide long non-coding RNA. RefSeq lists it as uncharacterized. Lineage: Eukaryota; Metazoa; Chordata; Actinopteri; Cyprinodontiformes; Poeciliidae. The transcript is spliced from 3 exons. The record is from RefSeq and is a predicted model, not a curated record.
GGGUAUUAUGGGUAAUCCUCAGAGCCAUGAGGAUCACUGUCGAGGAGUUUCUUUCAUGCCAGAGACUGACUUUACCUCGGUGCCCAUGUGUGAAAUGCAGGUGGAGAAAUAAAGAAAAC